Molecule: ribosomal RNA, 460 nt
Filed under: Salmonella enterica subsp. enterica serovar Anatum
Lineage: Bacteria; Pseudomonadati; Pseudomonadota; Gammaproteobacteria; Enterobacterales; Enterobacteriaceae
Description: bacterial SSU rRNA
Rfam family: Bacterial small subunit ribosomal RNA
Source: RNAcentral
UCCUACGGGCGGCAGCAGUGGGGAAUAUUGCACAAUGGGGGGAACCCUGAUGCAGCGACGCCGCGUGGGUGAAGGAGCACCUCGGUGCGUAAAGCCCUAUCGGCAGGGAAGAAAGGGGAGGCGACUCCCCCGGACGGUACCUGACUAAGAAGCCCCGGCUAACUACGUGCCAGCAGCCGCGGUAAUACGUAGGGGGCAAGCGUUAUCCGGAUUUACUGGGUGUAAAGGGAGCGUAGACGGCAAUGCAAGUCUGGAGUGAAAGGCGGGGGCCCAACCCCCGGACUGCUCUGGAAACUGUAUGGCUGGAGUGCAGGAGAGGUAAGCGGAAUUCCUAGUGUAGCGGUGAAAUGCGUAGAUAUUAGGAGGAACACCAGUGGCGAAGGCGGCUUACUGGACUGUAACUGACGUUGAGGCUCGAAAGCGUGGGGAGCAAACAGGAUUAGAUACCCCUGUAGUCAAC